GAUUGGAAACCUUGGGAGAUUGCAACUCGUUGUUAAGUUUUCCAUUGUUCUGAGUAAGGUCCAGACUCAAACCAAGAGUUUGACCAGGGCUAUUGUUUGGUCCCAGAUUUUGAUUGGCAUCUCGAACUAAGCAAGACACUUGAACUGGAGAAGAUUUCCCAAAACUAGAAAGCUCUGGUGACUUAUUCACAUUUUCUGUCGACCUCUGUAAUCCAUGAGUCAACUUUAAAGCAUUAUUUGGCAGCAUGCCCGCUUGCUUAACAGGUGGCAUCAGUGCUUUCCGUGGUAUUUCCUUCACAUACUGUGCUGGCACGUAAAAGGGUUUGGAAUUUUCAUCCCUUUUCACUUGCCACCAAUCGUCAUUAGUCUUCUUCACUAAUAUAUAUUUCUCCCCCUGUUUAAUCACAAUUUUCUUGUCCUUGGCCUCGUACUCGUAGUCAUACUCCACUUCAAUGUACAGCUGUCCCGGAAGGAUCUUCGCACUCCUAUCAGCCAUCUCCACCCAAAGAAAUUUCACCUCUUCCGGCAAACACUUGGCCACAUUCUGCUUCUGAAGCGUUACUUUCCUGUUAACAAUCAGAGCUGUCCCGGCGGCGCGGACCCGGCUGCGGCGGCGGCGGAGGCGGCUGCGCGCGUGCCCUGCCCGCCGCUCGCGGCGCGACCCCUGCGUCGAGUGUCAGCUCCUGGGCACGGCGGC
RNAcentral lists this long non-coding RNA (697 nucleotides) under Gallus gallus (chicken). The record is from RNAcentral. Lineage: Eukaryota; Metazoa; Chordata; Aves; Galliformes; Phasianidae.